This 700-nucleotide long non-coding RNA is filed under the name Amphibalanus amphitrite. RNAcentral's name for it is "uncharacterized LOC122378047, transcript variant X3". Lineage: Eukaryota; Metazoa; Arthropoda; Thecostraca; Balanomorpha; Balanidae. The record is from RNAcentral.
AACUUGGGAAAUUUACGAAUUUCGGUAUUGAAAACCGCAGACCACCCUCAGUUGUGCUUUGUCCACUGUACUGUAAAUGCUGCUAAUAUACCUCUGUCGCUAGCAGACGCAUGUCUUUGCAUUCGAUUGGUUGAACGGCAUUUCGUUUGCUGAUGGAGAACACCUUUGUUUUAAUUUGUAUUUUGUCAUCGGUUAUGUUAUUUGUUUUGUCUGUUACACUGAACUCUAUAAUGGGCUCUGUUAUUUGAUUUGAUUUUGUUAGGUAAAGAUGGAAGGCACUGUGACUAUAAAUAAUGGAAGGCUCGUUGCUGUCGGCGGUUCUGAAGACAGCGGUUCGAUCCAGCUGAAGGACGUCACCUGGCAGGAAGUUGCAGAGUGUGGUGGCCAGUAUCAAGCCACAUUGUCCAGAAACCAUCACAUUAUCUCCAGGUCACUAGUCGCCGGUGCUCGAGCUGACGGCGUCGUUCAAGGGCUCCACGGUGACAAGCGCCGUCACCGCUGCCGCCGCCGCCGAGACCAUCCGACUCCUGGGCCCUGUUUCACGGCAGCGUACUGCAGCGCGCUACGCAGCGCUGCUGUGUUAGUGCGGCGAUUGAGACGAAUUCGGCUCGACGCUCCAGCGUUGCGAAACACCCGUGUCUAUGAAGGAAACGCCGAUACGUCCCCCAGCUUCAAGCCCUCCCCCCCCCCCCGCCCCGUU